UCUUACAUAUAUUUUUUUUUUACACAUGGGUUAUUACUACACCACAUUUUUAUAUUUACUUAAUGUAACACCCCAUUAUCCUCCACUAAUAUUUUCUUUUCCCUACCACUAAUCUUUUUCCCUACCACCACUAAUAUUUUCUUUUCCCUACCACUAAUCUUUUUCCCUACCACUACUCCUACCUUUCCACCACACUACUCCUUUUCCCCCACCACUACAUUCUUUCUCCCACUCUCACAACUUUUCUCCCACC
RNAcentral lists this long non-coding RNA (253 nucleotides) under Salvia miltiorrhiza (redroot sage). RNAcentral's name for it is "long non-coding RNA (SMIL_LNC008488)". Lineage: Eukaryota; Viridiplantae; Streptophyta; Magnoliopsida; Lamiales; Lamiaceae. The record is from RNAcentral.